AACGCACAUUGCGCUUCCUGGUAUUCCGGGAAGCAUGCCCGUUUCAGAAUCAAUAAAAAUCUCACCCAGCUUGGUGCUUUCGAGCGUUGAGUGGAGGUGGAUCUGGAUCUUUGCGUUAGCAAUCUUCUUAAAUUCAUUGUGUGUGCACCAAUUGAUGUUUCUUUUGGUUGUCCGAGUGCAACAGAUUUAUCUAUUUCGCUUUGGCAAUUGAUUGAUGCUCUUGAUGCGCAUACUUCACCCAUAAUACGGUCUUCAAAUCGGUAUGAUUUGGAUUUCCGAUAACUUGAUCUGAAAUCGGGCAAGAAAACCCGCUGAACUUAA
RNAcentral lists this unclassified non-coding RNA (321 nucleotides) under uncultured Spizellomyces. RNAcentral describes it as "sequence contains ITS2". The record is from RNAcentral. Lineage: Eukaryota; Fungi; Chytridiomycota.